GCAGUGACGAAGAAAUGGAGAACAAGAGACUCUGUUUCUCUGCCUUUGCGUGUCCUCAGUGUAAGCAUGCCAUGAAACUGUUCCCUGUGAGUGAUGGAGUCAUUGGAACGUGUCAGAACCGCGAAUGUAACUUGGAGAAAAACAUGCUGGAUGAGUGCAGACUGGCGCGCGAGGCAGAGUUGCUCUUUAUUAAGGGAGUGCGGUUGUUAGAAAGAGUUGGAGUCAAGGAGGCCCUUGACGUGUUCCAUGAAUGUUUGCGGCGGCGGAAAAUUCUUCUUCAUGCGUAUAACAAGGACCUGGCUGAAACACACGAUGCCAUUGCAAGGUGUUAUGCCAUGAAUGGCGACUUCAAGAAAGCUUCUCAUUACUGUUCUCGCAGCUGUGAAGCGGUGGAAAAAGCUUUCGGUUCAUCAAGCGUGGAGUACGCACACGAACUUCACAAGCUCUCGCAGCUGUUGUUCAACGACAGACAAGUCAAAAAAGCACUCUCUACAAUCGACAAAGCCACUAGUCUUUUGUCACGCCAUUAUGGACGGAGCAAUCCAGACGUGAAGGAACUGAGUGAGAUGAAACGCUGCCUUAUUGCUGUUGGCGGUCAUUCCAGAAACAACAGCACGUGACGGUCACGCAAGGGUUAUUAGGCUUUAAAGUAUACUUGUCGGACAUUUCUAGAAUAAAAAGUUUUUUUUCGUCUUUUGUUUCCGGCUUAGUUAGACGUUUGUGCUACUCGGGUGAUACGAUUGUGUGACGAGAGGUGCAAAUCAAAUUCACUUGAAUCACACAAUCUUCCAGGACCCAAGUUAUCAGUUAGAUGGAAGGAAAAGAAAGAAAAAAGAAAUUAAAAAUGGACGGGUUUACAUGAAAGAAUUUUGUUACGAUUUUGUGAAAGUAUCUUUUAUACUAAAAGUUUGGUGUACAAUUUGGUGUUGAGUUAUUUAUGUGUCAACUCCUGUAAGGGAGAAAGUGUCUUUAAAAAGAACGCGUUACUUGUUUUGUUUAAAAAAAACAGCAAGAAAUGGUAGACUAUAGAGUAUGACGUAAAUCAGAGAGAUUCCAAGAAAUACUAUAUACAAGUAGAGCAAAAAGUAAAGAACAUUGAAGAACUAGAAUUCAUACUGGAAACGAGGUAGAAUUUAUUGUGUUGUUUAAAAGAAAACUACUAAUGUCAUUGUUUAGAACAAGGAUUUGAGAUGAAAAAUGCCUACAAUGCUUUAUUCACUCUAAACACUUAAAACACAUUUACAUAGAAAGUGACAAAAACUACAAUAACUUAAGAAAUAGAUAUGUUUAAAGUUGAGCCAGGAGGAUGAAUGAACCUUGCGUUUCUACUUCCUGUUUCUCUACAUGUGCAGAACACAGUUCGCGCUCUUUCUUUAAGACUGCGAGGGCCUCUUUCCUUCUAGAAUACUCGACUUUUCUUACUGAACGAGGUGAUUGAAUUAAAGUUCAAAACGCUUUAACAUCAUGUUGUUGUUGUUGAUGAUGUCUUUAUCAGGUCAGGCUUGUCCAGUGUAACCUUCAUUUUGCCUCGUAAAACUACACAUGAGAAACUAAGGGGUGACGAAGCACCCUUAACCUUUUACAACAAUUUUGGCUCGUCAUAUCCAAUUAGAGACUCAAAACAUUCUUAAAAUGAGUGUAUCUAAUUGUCGAGAGUCGAGGGUAACAUGUCGAGGGUCGAGGGUAACAAAAAAUAUAUUAAAAUAAAGUGAAAAAUAAAAAAUAAAAAUAUAGUAUAUAGUAAUGAAAUCCACUACUCUACAGGUGUUGCAUAAGAUAUCUCACUUCAGCAUAACGGGAUCUUCCUAAUUUGCUAUUCCAAAAAAUCAAGACCGUCUAUUUACAAAUAUGUACUUUUUCAACAAAAGAUUUAAAAACCAUAACUGGCGAAAGGUUAUAGCUUGGCAGGUGGUUUGUUUCACAGCUGCUAACUCAAGCAUGGUGGAUAUUUUUGCUUGAACGUGUAAACUUACUGAGCGUAAAAUUUGAAGUAAUACCAGGGGAAUGUAGGAGGAAUAUUCUCACAGCGCUUCUAACACUACAUAGAAUAGUCCAAUGAGGCAUUCAUUAACAGAGAAUUCAGUGUUCAGCGCUGUUAUCUUCCCUGACGGCUGGAAGGUAGUAUAUGUGCAGUUUUGUGGCGAUGAACUGAGAACACAUCCUUCGUUUCACCUGAUGUAAUAACAGUUCAUGAAGCGUUUAACAUUUUAAUUUCAUCUAGCUACCCGGCGUCUCUACCAGACGACUUCAAUACCUUUGCUGUUAUAGCAUCUAGCGGUUAAGAAGCUCCAAUUUUCCCCUUGUUAGGUCAUCUAUUAUUUCGUUCAUCCGGACACACUAAGAUGGAAGAAUGAAAUAAGGCCCUGAAGAAAAGUUUCUAGACUUUUUAUCGCUAAAAACUUGAAACUAUUCAGUAAGUACACGUGGUACCCCUUCAGAGUUUACUGAACCCUUAAUAAUCAGGUCAGCAACAUGUUCGGAGGCCGGAGUUUAAACCCUUUGUUGUGUCACGUUACCUCAUUCCUGUUCUGCAAUGCGAUUGGCUGAGACAAGGAAAUCGCAAUUUACGCGCUUUUUCAAGUGGUUCAAAGAUCUCUUUGCGCUUCUGAAAUUAGCCAACUAAAAAAAGGUGACACAAACAAAUUUUUAAAGCAUUAACUAUCGGAACACUGAAAUGGACGCUGGAAGGCUAAACUUUAUGUAAAACUGAGGAUAUUUUUAAGACCUUCAAGAGACAGCGAAAAGUAUACGAAAAUUGUUUGGACAGUUCUUACGAUCUGCGGGUGAAGUGGAAGCUAGCAAAGUCAAGUGGUCGACAGGAAGAGUUAUCCACUACGUUCUCCGUAUAUAAGCACGUGCGCCGAUGAUGAUAAAUAGUUUUGGCAAUCAAACACAGCUUUCCUCAAUCCGACUGCAAGUGUUUGUCUAAACAAUCCGGCGAACCUGGCAAACCAGCAGCCGUUUUUAAACGUCAUUGUAUGUAAACGUGCGUCCGUUUUGACAAGUGUAUUUGCCCACCAGUCAAGAAACGGAAACAAACCAGUUGACAGACCAGUCCAUGUGCUCUACCUUUUAUCCACUGGUACGCAAACUCCGCCCAAUUAUUGUUUCUUCCGUUCUCCAUUUGCACGUGUUUUUUCAAAAGAGUUUUUAACGUUGGCCCUGUUCUGGAACAAGCCGUCUUGGGCAGAUCAUGUGAUCAAAGUUUCAUCAUAGAUGGAGCCCCAGGUCAUGCCGCCAAACCAAGAAUAGAAUGCCUUUUCACUGUGUAGUUUGUACAGCCAGAUACCUUGGACUCACACGAGGACUGCUAAGAUGGCGUUGGACAAUGAUUACAAUGAUUGUGCUCUACUUUGUCAACUUACUCCAUCCUUUACUGCAAGAAGAAAUGCUGGCCUCCAUUGAAAGAGAUCUUGAAGAACAAGGCCUGCCCACUGAGACUGUUACCCUCAAGCAAAAGAUAAAACCGCCCAUUAAGACUUGGCAACACCAAGCACCCAACUUGCUGAGCCCGCAUGUCAUGGAAAGCGGUUCGCUAUCCCUCCGUGGUUGGUGGAUGUCACACGUGAAAUGGGAAGUGACUGAAAUGAAACGUAAAUCAAAACCCAAUGUCAGACAGGCAAGUAAAUAGUUAAAUUCCUUCAAGUAAAUGAAAGAAGAAUGAAAAUAGUAUCGCGCAAAGCCAGUAUUUGAUACUGAAGUUUCCUGACGACCGCAUUUGACUUGUGCAAAUACUGUUCCCUGAAUGGUUAAAGAGUAAUCGCGUGACAGAUAAGAUAGUGGCUUGUCGAGUCAUCAAAGUCUCUUAAAAUAAUCAGAGACCCACGUUUGAUCCGCUCGGAGCCCUUGGAACAAACACAACAAGCAGUGCUGCUGUACUGUUUUGAUAUGGAAUCCAUGGGCACAACGCCGAAUUUACUUGUGAGUCCGGGUUUUAGCGAUGAUAUAACCAUGCAAUAACUUGGAAUGUGGCAAAAUGUUUCAAUUUUCCCUUGCAGGUCUUCAGCGUGGCCUGCACUGUGCAUAGGAUAGUGGAGACAUACCAAUAUCUCUCUUUGAACAGGAGUAUCCCGAUAAAAGGAAUCAAGUUCCAAGCCAGUUCUGCCUCAUGGAAGAUGGAGCGACCUACAGUCAGCUUGCUGAGGAGCUACGAACCGUUUUAUGGCGCUCGAAUAUUUGUGGUGCUAUCAAGUGGAAAAAGAAAGCUACUCAAGCUGGAUUUUUCAGCAGAAUCUGGAAAAGUUAUGAACAGGAAAACAGAAUUUAUCUCACCUCGAGGAGAACAAAUCACCAGUGUCACGGUUAUGUUGGGUUGCUUUGGAUAUGAGGGAUAUGUCACCUUCACUGACCUUGCGGUUAAACCUAUAUAUGAUUCCAGACUGCUGAAAAACCACAGUAUCGAGCCAAAGCAACUCUUAGAGCCGUGCCAAGCACUAAGCAAGAGACCACUUGUUGAGUCUGGAGAUUUCCUCACUGAAAUACUCUAUUCAGCGUGUUCACCAACAGAUUCUGACGCAGUCACUUUGGUGACACAGCUAACGUUCAAUAGGAUAAACAUGUUGAAGAGGAAUUUAAGAUUCUGGACUGGUCCUCUGUCAAUAGUAGUUUACGUUCAUUUAGAAGACGCUAACGAUAUUGAUUUCAAAAAGAGAGAGGUACAGAUGCGAUUACCGUCACCAAUAUUCAGCAAGUUUUCCACGGUCUCAGUUAUGGUCAUAUAUGGAAAGAAGAUAGGUCCACAGUAUCCAAUCAAUCGCCUCAGAAACAUUGCAGUCAAAAAUGUUAAAACGCAAUAUAUUUUCAUGAUCGAUGUGGAUUUCGUUCCUUCGCCAGAAUUAGAAACUAUUGCAAGAAAUCAGAUUCUUAAGUACAAUGAGACAAGAAAUGGUACCAAUAACAAGGUUGCAUUUGUCGUGCCUGCCUUUGAUGGCGCAAGAAAUGUGAACUCUAGAGAUCUUCCACAGACGAAGGAGGAACUUGUUAAAAUGGUGAAAAGAAAGAAGAAAUUGGCGCCAUUUAGACAAAUCGAGUCUCCUUUGUCUCAUAGCUCCACAAACUAUACCAAGUGGUACCACAUCAAUGAGUCAUAUGAAGUCAGCCGUUAUCAGGAUAAAUACGAACCUUACUUAAUUUUAAGAUUGACUCCUGAACUUCCGCUGUACGACGAAAGGUUUACUGGUUACGGAAUGAACAAGAUUUCUCACGUCAUAGAACUCGCACUACUGAGGCAAGUCACCCUUAGCCUCGAUUUCAUCGUUUUUUCUGUGCACGCAUAAUCGUUAGACGCAUUCGAGAGCUUUAAAACGUUGUCUCAGCGGUAUACAGUGCGCUUAGAUUCACUAUGGGGAAUUCCUUAUCCAGCACAGCUGCAGGUCGAACUCUUCACAAACUUGUCCUUUUAGCUAUAGACAAACACCAUUUCCACGAAUAAACAGCUUCGUUCCCAGGGCUUUCCCUUCCCAAUCUCUAACGGAGAAGCCCUGGGAACGAGGUUGAUGAGGGUAAGGGAGGCGAAAAACACUCUCCCUCCCCCUCUUCCCCGUUUAAUACCUGUUUAAAAAGGUUAUGAAUACACAAAGGGUUAAUCGACAAUUUCCCUCCGACCGACCUCACACUAAUUGAUCAAGCAGAAAUAUUUUCCUAUCAUUAACGUGUAUAUUUUGAUUUCUCUCAGGUACAAAUUCAUAGUGCUGCCUAAUGUUUGGAUUGUUCAUCGUUACCAUACAUUGUCACCCCUCUCAUUCGCUCAUUUGACGGAUCCAGACAGCAGGUUUGCAAAUCGACUUCAGCGCUUUGAGUUUAUCAGUGAUUUAUACAACAAACACAAGAUCGGUCACUGCAAGGGUGCCAAGAACCAGUAGCUUAAGACUGAAACAAAUUUGCUGACACUUAAAACUGAACAUUGACGAGAAAUUUUCCUGAUGGUGGAUUUUUCAAGCAAGGAGAGUGACGUAGAAGAAUCCAUUCAAAGACAGACACGCCCUGUAUAGACAAAUAUACAACGGCAUGAUUCACACUUAGAUGUUGGUCAUCAUUCCACCGACAGAUGGAUGAAGUUUAAACGCAGAUUGCCCACCGAACACUAAAAAAUGACCUUCUUUAUAAUCUUUCUCUAACUAUUAAUGGCUGAGGAAGGUAGCAAUCCAAGGACAUGCAAAAUUCGACAAGCUAAAAACUCCUGACCCAUUAUGGAUUAAGAUUGCUAACCAAGCUACACAUAUCAUUUGACACCAGCUCCUUUCUUGAACUAGCAAAUUCGAAGUAUUUUGUAACUCUGACGACGUCCCACUGGUCGUUCCAUAUUCAUUUAUAUGGUCUGUUCACAGACGUUUAUUUUUUGCUAUGAGCUAUUUAUCAUCUUGCCCAACCCCCUUGCGUUUUGGCUCAUUCAUAUCCCACGCGCCGGGUUAAUAUUUUGCUAAGCUUGCGAUCACGACGAUAUCCUGUCAACAAGCUCCGGCUGGAAUUCGAAGGGCCAAAAAGGGGGAAGUGGCCGAGCGGAGAACGGGGUGGGGGUUAAGGCGUCUCUCCUCUCUCUCUGCUCCUGUCUCUUCUGUCCUUUUUCUUCCUACUUUCUCUUCGCCCCAUCCUCGACUCGAGAACCUGUUUACAGGCUAUCAGUACGACGAACUCAAGGGUCUGCGGACAGACUAGCACUUAUAUGACCACAAUCUCGUGUUCACUUGUUGCGAAAAAAUUGAGUGCCAACGAAAUUGAAAUGACCUGUACCUUGAACAAGGAAAUAGUUAUAUUUUUGUGCUUUGCUGUAUACGCUGGGAGAACAAAUUCCCCCCAAGCACAACCGCAUUACCCUUACCACCUUGACUUGCUUUAUAAAGUCUGUUUGCUUUAUAAAGUAAGGAUAUUUACUUGUCCAGAGUUUGUUAAUCUGUAUUUUGUCUUCGUACAGGCGCGGAUCUGAUACCGAAUUCCACCGUUUUACGGAAAUUGGUCAGAUGUUUCAAAAUGACUCGGAUAACCCCUUAAGGAGACUUCAGGGAUAACAAAUUCAGAACAUUUCCGGUUCAUAAGAGAGCAUGGCCCUGGACCAUGGGCUCCUUCCCUGGACCACUCUAGAACGCACUCGUUGUUUCGAAAUCAGUCACCAUUAAUCCUAGAUCCGCGCCAGUGAUGCAUAAAUGUUUGCAGUUCGAAUAUAAGACAUCUUUAAAACAGAUAAAGUUGAGACACAUCUCCAAAUAAUAUUAUAAAAAAAUAUCGAGUUACACAAGUGCACGUAAUUGCUUCUGCCGAUGAACGUGUCAAAUAUUUAGCCAGGCUAUUCCUGUACAAUCAAAGUUGCCAUAUUUGAUCUACAUGUAUUGACAAUACGCCAAAGCAAAACUCUCCUUGAGUAUUCUAGUAAUAUGCAAUUGUGAGCCGGAUUCUUUAACAAUUAUUCCUCGAGCGCUCGUUGGAUAUGAGAUGGUAGAUAGCCAA
Orbicella faveolata is the source of this 7440-nucleotide unclassified non-coding RNA. NCBI's taxonomy places the organism in Eukaryota, Metazoa, Cnidaria, Anthozoa, Scleractinia, Merulinidae. The record is from RefSeq and is a predicted model, not a curated record.